RNAcentral lists this ribosomal RNA (287 nucleotides) under uncultured bacterium. RNAcentral's name for it is "partial 16S ribosomal RNA". It matches the Rfam family "Bacterial small subunit ribosomal RNA", at positions 773 to 1060 of the family's 1533-position model. The record is from RNAcentral.
GUGGAUUAGAUACCCUGGUAGUCCACGCCGUAAACGAUGAGCACUAGGUGUCGGGGCCGCAAGGUUUCGGUGCCGCAGUUAACGCAUUAAGUGCUCCGCCUGGGGAGUACGCACGCAAGUGUGAAACUCAAAGGAAUUGACGGGGACCCGCACAAGCAGCGGAGCAUGUGGUUUAAUUCGAAGCAACGCGAAGAACCUUACCAGGUCUUGACAUCCCUCUGACAGUCCCUUAACCGGGAUCUCCCUUCGGGGCAGAGGAGACAGGUGGUGCACGGUCGUCGUCAGCU